This 572-nucleotide ribosomal RNA is filed under the name uncultured bacterium. RNAcentral's name for it is "bacterial SSU rRNA". It matches the Rfam family "Bacterial small subunit ribosomal RNA", at positions 47 to 620 of the family's 1533-position model. The record is from RNAcentral.
CCUAACACAUGCAAGUCGAACGGGAAGCGGUGCAUAUUGCUUCGGUGAUAAUGUGCCGUGGAGAGUGGCGAACGGGUGCGUAACACGUAGGUAACCUGCCCUGAAAGGGGGGAUAACCACGGGAAACUGUGGCUAAUACCGUAUAAUCUCGCCGUGGCGGUGGUUACGGUGAGGAAAGCUGAGGCGAUUUGGGAGGGGCCUGCGGUCGAUUAGCUGGUUGGUGGGGUAAAGGCCCACCAAGGCGAUGAUCGAUAGCUGUUCUGAGAGGAAGACCAGCCACACGGGAACUGAGACACGGUUCCGACUCCUACGGGGGGCAGCAGUGAGGAAUAUUGCGCAAUGGGGGGAACCUUGACGCAGCAACGCCGCGUGGAGGACGAAGGUUUUCGGAUUGUAAACUCCUUAACUGGGGGAAGAGAGAGGACGGUACCCCAGGACGAAGACACGGCUAACUAGGUGCCAGCAGCCGCGGUAAUACCUAGAUGUCGAGCGUUAUCCGGAAUUACUGGGCGUAAAGGGUGCGCAGGCGGUGUUACAAGUCCGGCGUGAAAGCUUCUGGCUUAACUGGGAGA